RNAcentral lists this ribosomal RNA (605 nucleotides) under uncultured bacterium. Its description in RNAcentral is "bacterial SSU rRNA". The stretch from base 1 to 519 matches the Rfam family "Bacterial small subunit ribosomal RNA", at positions 338 to 873 of the family's 1533-position model. The record is from RNAcentral.
CCUACGGGAGGCAGCAGUGGGGAAUAUUGGACAAUGGGCGAAAGCCUGAUCCAGCAAUGCCGCGUGAGUGAUGAAGGCCUUCGGGUCGUAAAGCUCUUUUACCAGGGAUGAUAAUGACAGUACCUGGAGAAUAAGCUCCGGCUAACUCCGUGCCAGCAGCCGCGGUAAUACGGAGGGAGCUAGCGUUGUUCGGAAUUACUGGGCGUAAAGAGUACGUAGGCGGUUAUUCAAGUCAGAGGUGAAAGCCCGGGGCUCAACCCCGGAACUGCCUUUGAAACUAGAUAACUAGAGUCUUGGAGAGGUUAGUGGAAUUCCGAGUGUAGAGGUGAAAUUCGUAGAUAUUCGGAAGAACACCAGUGGCGAAGGCGACUAACUGGACAAGUACUGACGCUGAGGUACGAAAGCGUGGGGAGCAAACAGGAUUAGAUACCCUGGUAGUCCACGCCGUAAACGAUGAUAACUAGUUGUUCGGUCACUUGGUGACUGAGUGACGCANACUACGACAUUAAGUUAUCCGUCCGUCGGGUAGGUACGGUCGCGAAGAAUUAAACUAACAAUAGUAAGUAGUACGGUAGAGACGNGACGACGACGACGACGAGGAGAGG